CAGGUCACGUCUCUGCAGUUGCAC
This 24-nucleotide microRNA is filed under the name Oryctolagus cuniculus (rabbit). RNAcentral's name for it is "ocu-miR-370-5p". Its record names the gene ocu-miR-370-5p. Lineage: Eukaryota; Metazoa; Chordata; Mammalia; Lagomorpha; Leporidae. The record is from miRBase by way of RNAcentral.